Carassius auratus (goldfish) is the source of this 2378-nucleotide long non-coding RNA. NCBI's taxonomy places the organism in Eukaryota, Metazoa, Chordata, Actinopteri, Cypriniformes, Cyprinidae. The record is from Ensembl.
AUGCUGUCCCAGAGGCAGAGGCGGUGCUCAAUGCUGUUCCAGAGGUCGAGGCGGUGCCCGACACUGUUCCAGAGGCCGAGGUGGCACCCGAUGCCGAGGCGGUGCCCGAGACUGUUCCGGAGGCCGAGGCGGUGCCCGAGACGGUGCCUGAUGCCGAGGUGGCGCCCGAUGCUGUUCCAGAGGCCGAGGUGGUGCCCGAGGUCGAGGCAGCGCCCAUUGCUGUUCCAGAGGCCGAGGCGGUGCCCGAGGCCGUUCCCGAGGCAGUUACCGAGGCGGUGCCCGAGGCUGUUUCGGAGGUCGAGGCGGUGCCCGACACUGUUCCACAGGCCGAGGUGGCACCCGAUGCCGAGGCGGUGCCCGAAGGCCGUUCCCGAGGCACUUACCGAGGCGGUGACCGAGGCUGUUCCGGAGGUCGAGGCGGUGCCCGACACUGUUCCAGAGGCCAAGGUGGCACCCGAUGCUGAGGCGGUGCCCGAGGCUGUUCCGGAGGCCGAGGCGGUGCCCGAGACGGUGCCUGAUGCCGAGGAGGUGCCCGAGACGGUGCCUGAUGCCGAGGCGGCGCCCGAUCCAGUUCUGGAGGCCGGGGCGGGGCCCGAGGCUGUUCCCAAUGCAGUUACCGAGGCAGUGCCCGUUGCUGUUCCAGAGGCUGAGGCGGUGCUCGAGGCUGAUCCCGAGGCCGUUACCGAGGUGGUGCCCGAGGCCGUUCCGGAGGCCGAGGCGGUGCCCGAGGCCGUUCCCGAGGCAGUUGCCGAGGCGGUGCCCGAGGCUGUUCCGGAGGUCGAGGCGGUGCCCGACGCUGUUCCAGAGGCCGAGGUGGCACCUGAUGCCGAGGCGGUGCCCGAGGCCGUUCCGGAGGUCGAGGCGGUGCCCGAGGCUGUUCCAGAGGCCGAGGCGGUGCCCGAUCCAGUUCUGGAGGCUGAGGCGGUGCCUGAUGCCAAGGUGGUGCCCGAGGCUGUUCCAGAGCCAGGGCCAGUCACCGAGGACCCUCCAGAGCCAGGGCCAGUCACCAAUUACCCUCCAGAGCCAAGUCAAGUCACUGGGUGGUCUGCUGCUCCGUUCCGGGGGACUCCGGUCUCAACCACGGGGACGUGGUGGCCGUCCGCUCCGCCCUGGAGGGCUCUGACUUUGACCACAAGGUUGUGGUGGUCCUCCGCUCCGCCCUGGAGGGCUCUGACUUUGACCACAAGGCUGUGGUGGUCUUCCGCUCCGCCCUGGAGGGUUUUGACUUUGACCACAAGGCUGUGGUGGUCUUCCGCUCCGCCCUGGUGGGCGCCUCAACAGGUCCUUCAGGGAUUUCUGUGUGUUGUUUUGGUUUCUGUUAUGUUUCUGUCUGUUCCCCUCAGUUUGUCUGGCCCUCCGUCCCUCCCCCUGUACCUCCUCCGGCCCUCCUCCCUCCUGGUGUCCUUGUUUUAUGUUUUCAUUUCUGGUGUUUGUCCCCCAUGUCUUCUUUUUCUGUCUCCUGUUUCCCCAUUAUCCUUCUGUGUAUAAAUACCCAGUCUGUCUUAGUCUGUGUUACGGAGUCCUUGUUUAAAUGUUACCGUUAUUCAUUCCCGUCAUCCUUGUCUUGCCUUGCGUUAGUGUCUUGUUUAUGUCUGCUUUGAUCUUCUGGUUUUGACCCUGCCUGGACUGUUUACCCUUUUGGAUUAUCCCUAAUAAACGACGUACCUGCAAUUGGUUCCUUCUUCGUGUUUUCCUAACACCUAACGUGACAAGUAUAGCCGAAAUCAUUCAGUCACUAUUUCAUAUUUAUGCCGUUGUUCUUUCUCCCUUUCCCCCGUGAUUUUGUCUAUAUAGCGAAUAUAAGACGACCCCCCAUUUUUCAGCCUAUUUUUAGGACAAAAAAACUUGUCUUAUAUUCGGGUAUAUACGGUAAUUAUAAAUCAAUUGUCAUAAUAUUGAACAAUAUUACUGUUUGUUGUUGUAUUUUUCAAAACUUGAAACUUUGUGUGUGUGCGCGUGUGUAUGUGCCUAUCUCAAACAAGUAGCCCUCAAGACUAUUUUAUCCCUUCAGGGAGCCCUCACUCACAAAAAGGUUGGAGACCCCUGCCGUAAGAACAAAAAUUAAAAAAGGCAAAAAGAUUAGGAGGACUAAGGUAAUUCAAAAGAUGGAAAAACGUUCUAAAUUGAACGAGGAGGAAACAUGGAAAACUAAGAAGGAGCGAGUCAACUCUGAUACAGAAUGAAGGUUAGCUGGCCAGUUGAAACAGAGACUGUGUGACCCAAAAGUUAAAGAAGAAAAUGAAAAUGUAUAUAUUUAAUAAUUCCUGGAACAAAGUAUUUGAUUAACACAUGCAGAAAUUUCUGUCUCAACUGAGCCUUGAGAGUUAAAUAGUACAAUAGAGGUACAAACAUAUGACGGACAAGUUAAAACAGAAAAA